Cajanus cajan (pigeon pea) is the source of this 589-nucleotide non-coding RNA. Lineage: Eukaryota; Viridiplantae; Streptophyta; Magnoliopsida; Fabales; Fabaceae. The record is from RefSeq and is a predicted model, not a curated record.
UGUUAUUGUCUGUCAAAUUAGAUUUAUACGUUUAUUUUUUGUAUAUACACCUGAAUCGAUGUUUUACUUGGAUAGGAAUGUAGUCAAUGUACAGUUGUUAGUGUCUUGAUUGCCAGAUUAGGUUUUUCUUGCUGAGGAUAGGAAUGUUUUUGUUGUUGAAGCCUAGCUAGAAGGUUUCUGUAAUGUACGAUUGUCAGUGUAUGAUUCCCAGGUUUUGAUGUCUUUUCGCAACUGUGAUGUUGGCAUUCACUUGCCGAUUGAGUUUGAACUGUGUUAGAACCCAAAACAAAUUGUCAGGCCCCAAAGAGCAAUUGGUCCAACAAUUGUCACAUGGACCCAAGGUCUGGAAGGUUUACACUAGGAGCUGGGGUGCUAUGCUGGUGGAGAGAGAAAGGAGAGUAACAGUUUCGGGGGUUUUCUGUUAUCAAAUAAGAAGGUGGGUGUGUGGAAUCAUUGUGUUAGUUAUAGAUGGAGAGCAGUAGCUCUCUAUAGGAGUCUCGCGUUGUGGCGGUAGGAAUAUUAUUUUCUACUGUAAUUUCGUCUUUUCAUGGAUAAUGCAUACACUCUAGCUCUUUGUUGUUUUUUUUUU